This is a non-coding RNA of Parelaphostrongylus tenuis, 73 nucleotides long. NCBI's taxonomy places the organism in Eukaryota, Metazoa, Nematoda, Chromadorea, Rhabditida, Metastrongylidae. The record is from the annotation of a GenBank genome assembly.
GCGUUGGUGGUGCAACGGUUUAGCACAUGCUCCCGGAAAGAGUAAGAUGCGGGUUCAAGUCUCAGUUGACGCA